RNAcentral lists this transfer RNA (84 nucleotides) under archaeon CG_4_8_14_3_um_filter_38_5. RNAcentral describes it as "tRNA-Ser". It matches the Rfam family "tRNA". Rfam says of the family: Transfer RNA (tRNA) molecules are approximately 80 nucleotides in length. Their secondary structure includes four short double-helical elements and three loops (D, anti-codon, and T loops). The record is from RNAcentral. RNAcentral also lists the same sequence under 2 other names.
GCCGGGGUGGCGGAGCGGUUUAACGCGCAAGCCUGGAAAGCUUGUCAUCACCAGAUGGCCUGAGUUCGAAUCUCAGCCCCGGCG